This 1956-nucleotide ribosomal RNA is filed under the name Pseudomonas aeruginosa. RNAcentral's name for it is "bacterial LSU rRNA". It matches the Rfam family "Bacterial large subunit ribosomal RNA", at positions 987 to 2925 of the family's 2925-position model. Lineage: Bacteria; Pseudomonadati; Pseudomonadota; Gammaproteobacteria; Pseudomonadales; Pseudomonadaceae. The record is from RNAcentral.
CACGGCGGGUGCUAACGUCCGUCGUGAAAAGGGAAACAACCCAGACCGCCAGCUAAGGUCCCAAAGUUGUGGUUAAGUGGUAAACGAUGUGGGAAGGCUUAGACAGCUAGGAGGUUGGCUUAGAAGCAGCCAUCCUUUAAAGAAAGCGUAAUAGCUCACUAGUCGAGUCGGCCUGCGCGGAAGAUGUAACGGGGCUCAAACCACACACCGAAGCUGCGGGUGUCACGCAAGUGACGCGGUAGAGGAGCGUUCUGUAAGCCUGUGAAGGUGAGUUGAGAAGCUUGCUGGAGGUAUCAGAAGUGCGAAUGCUGACAUGAGUAACGACAAUGGGUGUGAAAAACACCCACGCCGAAAGACCAAGGGUUCCUGCGCAACGUUAAUCGACGCAGGGUUAGUCGGUUCCUAAGGCGAGGCUGAAAAGCGUAGUCGAUGGGAAACAGGUUAAUAUUCCUGUACUUCUGGUUACUGCGAUGGAGGGACGGAGAAGGCUAGGCCAGCUUGGCGUUGGUUGUCCAAGUUUAAGGUGGUAGGCUGAAAUCUUAGGUAAAUCCGGGGUUUCAAGGCCGAGAGCUGAUGACGAGUCGUCUUUUAGAUGACGAAGUGGUUGAUGCCAUGCUUCCAAGAAAAGCUUCUAAGCUUCAGGUAACCAGGAACCGUACCCCAAACCGACACAGGUGGUCGGGUAGAGAAUACCAAGGCGCUUGAGAGAACUCGGGUGAAGGAACUAGGCAAAAUGGCACCGUAACUUCGGGAGAAGGUGCGCCGGCUAGGGUGAAGGAUUUACUCCGUAAGCUCUGGCUGGUCGAAGAUACCAGGCCGCUGCGACUGUUUAUUAAAAACACAGCACUCUGCAAACACGAAAGUGGACGUAUAGGGUGUGACGCCUGCCCGGUGCCGGAAGGUUAAUUGAUGGGGUUAGCGCAAGCGAAGCUCUUGAUCGAAGCCCCGGUAAACGGCGGCCGUAACUAUAACGGUCCUAAGGUAGCGAAAUUCCUUGUCGGGUAAGUUCCGACCUGCACGAAUGGCGUAACGAUGGCGGCGCUGUCUCCACCCGAGACUCAGUGAAAUUGAAAUCGCUGUGAAGAUGCAGUGUAUCCGCGGCUAGACGGAAAGACCCCGUGAACCUUUACUGUAGCUUUGCACUGGACUUUGAGCCUGCUUGUGUAGGAUAGGUGGGAGGCUUUGAAGCGUGGACGCCAGUUCGCGUGGAGCCAUCCUUGAAAUACCACCCUGGCAUGCUUGAGGUUCUAACUCUGGUCCGUGAUCCGGAUCGAGGACAGUGUAUGGUGGGCAGUUUGACUGGGGCGGUCUCCUCCUAAAGAGUAACGGAGGAGUACGAAGGUGCGCUCAGACCGGUCGGAAAUCGGUCGUAGAGUAUAAAGGCAAAAGCGCGCUUGACUGCGAGACAGACACGUCGAGCAGGUACGAAAGUAGGUCUUAGUGAUCCGGUGGUUCUGUAUGGAAGGGCCAUCGCUCAACGGAUAAAAGGUACUCCGGGGAUAACAGGCUGAUACCGCCCAAGAGUUCAUAUCGACGGCGGUGUUUGGCACCUCGAUGUCGGCUCAUCACAUCCUGGGGCUGAAGCCGGUCCCAAGGGUAUGGCUGUUCGCCAUUUAAAGUGGUACGCGAGCUGGGUUUAGAACGUCGUGAGACAGUUCGGUCCCUAUCUGCCGUGGACGUUUGAGAUUUGAGAGGGGCUGCUCCUAGUACGAGAGGACCGGAGUGGACGAACCUCUGGUGUUCCGGUUGUCACGCCAGUGGCAUUGCCGGGUAGCUAUGUUCGGAAAAGAUAACCGCUGAAAGCAUCUAAGCGGGAAACUUGCCUCAAGAUGAGAUCUCACUGGGAACUUGAUUCCCCUGAAGGGCCGUCGAAGACUACGACGUUGAUAGGCUGGGUGUGUAAGCGUUGUGAGGCGUUGAGCUAACCAGUACUAAUUGCCCGUGAGGCUUGACCAU